CCGAAAGUAUCAUAAAAAACAAAGGGCAGCAUGCUUGUGCGAUCCUUAUCAGUAUCUGUCCAAAAAUGACUGUUUCAAGUUUAAGAAAAUGGGAUAAGACACCUUUAUAAAGAAAAGUUACAAGUACCCGUCUAACAGCUUACCAGUACCUCUUGUUAAGCUGUGGAGCAAUAAACUCAAGUAUAGCCAUAUUUAUGGUGUAAUCAGAAGUAUAUCAAGUUUAAGACUCCAACCAAAAUAACUAAAAAUUAGUUUUAAUAUAUAACUGUUAUUGGUAUAUGCGGAUAAAUUGACACCAGGAUACAUCUGUCUGUUGCGCGUUGCAAUUGAUACUAUGUUAUCAUGCUGCAAUGCUUAACUGUUGGAACAAAAUUGAUUUAAAAAUGUUUGCCCCUAAAUCUAUUAAGAUUUUGAUGAUAACAAAGUAUUAAUAAACAAUUGGAAGGACUAAAAAUUUAAUUUAAGUGUGCAGAUAUUAGCGUCAGAUAAGCUCUGAGUGAAGCUCAGAAGAUAUGCAUUCAGAAGUUUACAGGCGCUCAGAAGAUGUUGAACUUCAGAAGUUACAACCUUCAGAUAAUGAAGUCGUCAGAACUUCUUAAGUGUCCAAAGCUUCAUCACCCUCUGAAGAUCUUCUUGAAGUCUGUGAAGAUUCUCUUUUGUGAGUCAACUCUUCUACCAAUGAAGAAAA
Molecule: long non-coding RNA, 688 nt
Filed under: Trifolium pratense (red clover)
Lineage: Eukaryota; Viridiplantae; Streptophyta; Magnoliopsida; Fabales; Fabaceae
Description: long non-coding RNA (TPRA_LNC005983)
Source: RNAcentral